This 739-nucleotide ribosomal RNA is filed under the name uncultured bacterium. RNAcentral describes it as "bacterial SSU rRNA". It matches the Rfam family "Bacterial small subunit ribosomal RNA", at positions 565 to 1308 of the family's 1533-position model. The record is from RNAcentral.
GGGUGCGUAGGCGGAUGUUUAAGUGGGAUGUGAAAUCCCCGGGCUUAACCUGGGGGCUGCAUUCCAAACUGGAUAUCUAGAGUGCAGGAGAGGAAAGCGGAAUUCCUAGUGUAGCGGUGAAAUGCGUAGAGAUUAGGAAGAACACCAGUGGCGAAGGCGGCUUUCUGGACUGUAACUGACGCUGAGGCACGAAAGCGUGGGUAGCAAACAGGAUUAGAUACCCCGGUAGUCCACGCCGUAAACGAUGGAUACUAGGUGUAGGGGGUAUCAACUCCCCCUGUGCCGCAGUUAACACAAUAAGUAUCCCGCCUGGGGAGUACGGUCGCAAGAUUAAAACUCAAAGGAAUUGACGGGGGCCCGCACAAGCAGCGGAGCAUGUAGUUUAAUUCGAAGCAACGCGAAGAACCUUACCUGGACUUGACAUCCCUUGCAUAGCCUAGAGAUAGGUGAAGCCCUUCGGGGCAAGGAGACAGGUGGUGCAUGGUUGUCGUCAGCUCGUGUCGUGAGAUGUUAGGUUAAGUCCUGCAACGAGCGCAACCCUUGUUAUUAGUUGCUACCAUUAAGUUGAGCACUCUAAUGAGACUGCCUGGGUAACCAGGAGGAAGGUGGGGAUGACGUCAAUCAUCAUGCCCCUUAUGUCCAGGGCUACACACGUGCUACAAUGGUAGGUACAAUAAGACGCAAGACCGUGAGGUGGAGCAAAACUUAUAAACCUAUCUCAGUUCGGAUUGUACGCUGC